Molecule: small RNA, 96 nt
Filed under: Salmonella enterica
Lineage: Bacteria; Pseudomonadati; Pseudomonadota; Gammaproteobacteria; Enterobacterales; Enterobacteriaceae
Also listed under: 2 other names
Description: partial RtT sRNA
Rfam family: RtT RNA
About the family: This family represents a bacterial cis-regulatory element known as RtT RNA.
Source: RNAcentral
UAACAUCAAACUCAGAUGUUGAACGUGAAGGAUAACGUUGCGUCAGCAACGGCCCGUAGGGCGAGGCGGAGCCGAGUCAUCCUGCACGACCCACCA